RNAcentral lists this ribosomal RNA (112 nucleotides) under Peromyscus maniculatus bairdii (prairie deer mouse). The record is from RNAcentral. Lineage: Eukaryota; Metazoa; Chordata; Mammalia; Rodentia; Cricetidae.
CAUCGACAGCCAUAUGAUCCCAAAUGAACCCUACCCUUUUAUAUCUUAGAAGCUAAGCAGGGUAAGAUCUGGAUAGUACUUGGAUGAGAUGGAAACCUAAUCCCUGUUAUGA